RNAcentral lists this ribosomal RNA (429 nucleotides) under uncultured Acidobacteriota bacterium. RNAcentral describes it as "bacterial SSU rRNA". It matches the Rfam family "Bacterial small subunit ribosomal RNA", at positions 355 to 776 of the family's 1533-position model. The record is from RNAcentral. Lineage: Bacteria; Pseudomonadati; Acidobacteriota.
UGGGGAAUAUUGGACAAUGGGCGCAAGCCUGAUCCAGCAACGCCGCGUGGAGGACGAAGGUCUUCGGAUCGUAAACUCCUGUCAGAUGGGACGAAGGGAUCAGGGUAAAUAAUCCUGGUUCUUGACGGUACUAUCAGAGGAAGCCCCGGCUAACUCCGUGCCAGCAGCCGCGGUAAUACGGAGGGGGCGAGCGUUAUUCGGAAUUAUUGGGCGUAAAGGGCGCGUAGGCGGCUUGGCAAGUCAAAGGUGAAAUCCCUCGGCUCAACUGAGGAACUGCCUUUGAAACUGCCUGGCUUGAGGCCGGGAGGGGGUAGCGGAAUUCCCAGUGUAGCGGUGAAAUGCGUAGAUAUUGGGAGGAACACCAGUGGCGAAGGCGGCUACCUGGACCGGUUCUGACGCUGAUGCGCGAAAGCGUGGGUAGCAAACAGG